AGCGAACGCUGGCGGCAGGCCUAACACAUGCAAGUCGAACGGAUCCUUCGGGAUUAGUGGCGGACGGGUGAGUAACACGUGGGAACGUGCCCUUUGGUUCGGAACAACUCAGGGAAACUUGAGCUAAUACCGGAUGUGCCCUUCGGGGGAAAGAUUUAUCGCCAUUGGAGCGGCCCGCGUCUGAUUAGCUAGUUGGUGAGGUAAAGGCUCACCAAGGCGACGAUCAGUAGCUGGUCUGAGAGGAUGAUCAGCCACAUUGGGACUGAGACACGGCCCAAACUCCUACGGGAGGCAGCAGUGGGGAAUCUUGCGCAAUGGGCGAAAGCCUGACGCAGCCAUGCCGCGUGUAUGAUGAAGGUCUUAGGAUUGUAAAAUUCUUUCACCGGGGACGAUAAUGACGGUACCCGGAGAAGAAGCCCCGGCUAACUUCGUGCAGCCGCCGCGGUAA
This 448-nucleotide ribosomal RNA is filed under the name uncultured bacterium. RNAcentral describes it as "partial 16S ribosomal RNA". It matches the Rfam family "Bacterial small subunit ribosomal RNA", at positions 29 to 523 of the family's 1533-position model. The record is from RNAcentral.